GCAGCUCAGUGGUAGAGCGGAAGAUUGCAGUCUACGGAAUAAAUCUUCAGGUCAGGUGUUCGAACCACCUUCGGGACUU
Molecule: transfer RNA, 79 nt
Filed under: Cadophora sp. M221
Lineage: Eukaryota; Fungi; Ascomycota; Leotiomycetes; Helotiales; Ploettnerulaceae
Description: tRNA-Cys
Rfam family: tRNA (bases 3-70)
About the family: Transfer RNA (tRNA) molecules are approximately 80 nucleotides in length. Their secondary structure includes four short double-helical elements and three loops (D, anti-codon, and T loops). Further hydrogen bonds mediate the characteristic L-shaped molecular structure. tRNAs have two regions of fundamental functional importance: the anti-codon, which is responsible for specific mRNA codon recognition, and the 3' end, to which the tRNAs corresponding amino acid is attached (by aminoacyl-tRNA synthetases). tRNAs cope with the degeneracy of the genetic code in two manners: having more than one tRNA (with a specific anti-codon) for a particular amino acid; and 'wobble' base-pairing, i.e. permitting non-standard base-pairing at the 3rd anti-codon position.
Source: RNAcentral